This 253-nucleotide ribosomal RNA is filed under the name uncultured bacterium. RNAcentral's name for it is "partial 16S ribosomal RNA". It matches the Rfam family "Bacterial small subunit ribosomal RNA", at positions 524 to 776 of the family's 1533-position model. The record is from RNAcentral.
UACAGAGGGUGCAAGCGUUAUCCGGAUUCACUGGGUUUAAAGGGUGCGUAGGAGGGCAGGUAAGUCAGUGGUGAAAUCUCCAAGCUUAACUUGGAAACUGCCGUUGAUACUAUCUGUCUUGAAUACCGUGGAGGUGAGCGGAAUAUGUCAUGUAGCGGUGAAAUGCUUAGAUAUGACAUAGAACACCAAUUGCGAAGGCAGCUCGCUACACGAAUAUUGACUCUGAGGCACGAAAGCGUGGGGAUCAAACAGG